GCAAAUCCCAUAAAGUUGUUCUCAGUUCGGAUUGUAGUCUGCAACUCGACUACAUGAAGCUGGAAUCGCUAGUAAUCGUAGAUCAGCAUGCUACGGUGAAUACGUUCCCGGGUCUUGUACACACCGCCCGUCACACCACGAGAGUUUGUAACACCCGAAGCCGGUGGAGUAACCUUUUAGGAGCUAGCCGUCGAAGGUGGGACAAAUGAUUGGGGUGAAGUCGUAACAAGGUAGCCGUAUCGGAAGGUGYGGCUGGAUCACCUCCUUUCUAAGGA
This 275-nucleotide ribosomal RNA is filed under the name Staphylococcus aureus. RNAcentral's name for it is "partial 16S ribosomal RNA". It matches the Rfam family "Bacterial small subunit ribosomal RNA", at positions 1267 to 1533 of the family's 1533-position model. Lineage: Bacteria; Bacillati; Bacillota; Bacilli; Caryophanales; Staphylococcaceae. The record is from RNAcentral.